CCUACGGGAGGCAGCAGUGAGGAAUAUUGGUCAAUGGGCGCGAGCCUGAACCAGCCAAGUAGCGUGAAGGAUGACUGCCCUACGGGUUGUAAACUUCUUUUAUAAAGGAAUAAAGUGAGGCACGUGUGCCUUUUUGUAUGUCCUUUAUGAAUAAGGAUCGGCUAACUCCGUGCCAGCAGCCGCGGUAAUACGGAGGAUUCGAGCGUUGUCCGGAUUUAUUGGGUUUAAAGGGAGCGUAGAUGGUUUGUUAAGUCAGUUGUGAAAGGUUGGGGCUCAACCCUAAAAUUGCAAAUGAUACUGGAAGUCUAGAGUACAGGUGAGGUAGGCGGAAUUCGUGGUGUAGCAGUGAAAUGCUUAGAUAUCACGAAGAACUCCGAUUGCGAAGGCAGCUUACUAAACUGCCACUGACAUUGAUGCUCGAAAGUGUGGGUAUCAAACAGGAUUAGAUACCCUAGUAGUC
This 460-nucleotide ribosomal RNA is filed under the name uncultured bacterium. RNAcentral's name for it is "partial 16S ribosomal RNA". It matches the Rfam family "Bacterial small subunit ribosomal RNA", at positions 338 to 795 of the family's 1533-position model. The record is from RNAcentral.